Molecule: ribosomal RNA, 41 nt
Filed under: Chorizema varium
Lineage: Eukaryota; Viridiplantae; Streptophyta; Magnoliopsida; Fabales; Fabaceae
Description: partial 28S ribosomal RNA
Source: RNAcentral
GAGACCUCUUGUCAGGCGGGACUACCCGCUGAGUUUAAGCA